Molecule: transfer RNA, 67 nt
Filed under: Marmota monax (woodchuck)
Lineage: Eukaryota; Metazoa; Chordata; Mammalia; Rodentia; Sciuridae
Description: tRNA.Ala
Source: RNAcentral
GGUUGUGGCUCAGUGGUCGAACACUCGCCUUGCACGUACGAGACCCUGGGUUCGAUCCUCAGCAUCA